Molecule: ribosomal RNA, 694 nt
Filed under: uncultured bacterium
Lineage: Bacteria
Description: bacterial SSU rRNA
Rfam family: Bacterial small subunit ribosomal RNA
Source: RNAcentral
AACGCUAGCUACAGGCUUAACACAUGCAAGUCGAGGGGUAACGAGAGGAAAGCUUGCUUUCCUUGUCGACGACCGGCGCACGGGUGAGUAACGCGUAUCCAACCUGCCCCCAACUAGGGAAUAACCUUGCGAAAGUAAGACUAAUACCCUAUAAUUUCCUCAGAUGUCAUCUGACGAGGAAUAAAGAUUUAUCGGUUGUGGAUGGGGAUGCGUCUGAUUAGCUUGUUGGCGGGGUAACGGCCCACCAAGGCAACGAUCAGUAGGGGUUCUGAGAGGAAGGUCCCCCACAUUGGAACUGAGACACGGUCCAAACUCCUACGGGAGGCAGCAGUGAGGAAUAUUGGUCAAUGGGCGGAAGCCUGAACCAGCCAAGUAGCGUGCAGGAUGACGGCCCUAUGGGUUGUAAACUGCUUUUAUACAGGAAUAAAGUUAGCCACGUGUGGUUAUUUGUAGGUACUGUAUGAAUAAGGACCGGCUAAUUCCGUGCCAGCAGCCGCGGUAAUACGGAAGGUCCAGGCGUUAUCCGGAUUUAUUGGGUUUAAAGGGAGCGUAGGCCGUCUGUUAAGCGUGUUGUGAAAUGUAGAUGCUCAACAUCUGAAUUGCAGCGCGAACUGGCAGACCUGAGUGUGCGCAACGUAGGCGGAAUUCGUGGUGUAGCGGUGAAAUGCUUAGAUAUCACGAAGAACUCCGAUUG